AUGUCUGUGAUUCUGAAAGAGAAGGGAGAAGCAGAAUCUCUCGCCUCGGAACAUGGGAAAAGAGGAGGGCAAAAGGGCGAGAAAAAGCGAAAGGAAGGCGCGCCGGGCAGGGCAGCAGGCAGGCAGGCAAGACCCUUCCUUUCGUCGUCGACGAACGGGUGGGCACGCCAUGGCCAUGCGAUGCCCAUGCAUGCAACAACCAUGUGCCAAAACCGCUCGAUCUACUGCUGCUUUCUCACCUCCACGCUCACGAGUCGCAAGAAGCCAGAGCAACAUCGCAUCGACGGAACGGAACACAUACGUAUGAGCAAGCAUAUCAGCCUCAAGCCCUCAGCUCGACACGAGUGUCUUCUCUUCCGAUCGCAUCGGAUGCCGCUCCGGCGCGGCGCGGCGCUCCUCCUCGCACUCGCAGGCCGUAGAGUUGAUGGUGCAGCCGGUGCGCUGCCGGGCCAGAGUUUUACUACUGCGGCGCGCGCGCCAGGCAGCAGAAACGGGGGACCAGGGGAGUGGGGAUACCCCCGAGGCGGUGGUGGACUGGCGGUACGGUCACUAUAUUUUAUGGACGCGUCUAGUGGGCGGCCGGCCGCCCUAGGAUCGCUAGCCAGCGGCCACCCGAAAAAAGGAAACCACCUGGUCCCCCUCGAGCGAAAAAGAGGAAACAGUCCACCUGGUCCCUGCCCGUCGGAGCCAAAAAGGCAACUGCCCCGCCCACCAGCUGGCCGCGGGAUCACGUGCACCCUCCUCGCCAAACGUGCACCCUCCUGGCCGCGGGAUCACGUGCACCAGCUGGCCGCGGGAUCUGCCCAGGUUGCAGAAUCCACGCCAUCUCUCGCCCCCACGCCUCAGCCCCACCGACGCUGCCUUCUUCUUCUUCUGCACGCCAGAAACAGAUCCAAACGCAAUCGCCCCCAGCCCUUCUUCCUCCUCCUACACAGCCGCCAUGGGAGCCCCAAAGUAGAAGGAGCUGCUUCAAGAUCUAAAGGGCAGGGUGGUCAGAGCCCAGGCAGUAAGAUCGAGCAGGUAAGCCCCCUCUGCACCUCUUCGCUUCCCCCUUCUCCAUGGAUCCAUGGAGAAUCUGCUUCAAAAAAGAGCAUCCAAUUAUGUGCAGAAAAAUCUGAAAAGAGCUCCUUGCGAAACGGAAACCUACAGAUCAUUGCAACAAAACAAAAAGGGAAAAGGGGAGUGUGUGGCAGCAUCCAAAAACAAGGGGAAAAAAUGCUUGAUCUCAAUGAGUUGCCUCCAGAUCUCAAUGAGCUUCCUCAUGAUAUGGAUCAGCAGCAACCCAGAAUACAACAAGGAAACUGCACAGAAAAUGGUCGAUCUGUUUACUACACGCAGGCAAGUCGUGAUGGUAACCCUACGGGCCAUGACAAUGUGGCAGGCCAGUCAUCAACCCGUGGUGCCCCUGUAGUGAUGUCUUUGCAGUCAGAGAGCCAUACUCUUGAUGACACAGGAACCGAGGCAAAUGUUCCUGGUCCAACCAGGACUGAGCUAGAAGCUGGGGCUUUUGACAGAGUUGUGCAAGUAGAAGAAGGAGAGGAUGAGGCUGUUAUGCAUAUGUGUGAUGUCAACACUCAAGGACCUCCUCCCCCUCCUGGCUGUACACGGCAUCCUCCGCCACCUCCUCCCCCGCAUGCUCCUCUCAAUGGCCCUACAGGCAGCACUCAGGGGGCUCGUCGUCUAGGUGAUGCCAACCCUCAAAGACCUCCUCCCCCGCCAGGCCCAACUAGCAGUGCCCUUUGUGCUACUCCCAAUGGACCUACAGGCAGGACUCAGGGGGCUCAUAACCCAGGCGACUACAAUCCAAGUACCAUGACAGGCCGUGCUACUGCAGGUGAUCGUGACGGUCCUACUGCCCCGUUGGAGGCUGCAUCCCAUGCACAAGCUUCUGAUGAUUUUGUGCCCAGAGAUCCUCCAAGGUCUACUACAAAGGGUAGGGCAAAGAGUCGACGGUACAAAUCGGCGCUGGAGCUACACCCAAAGAAGAAAAACAAAUGCAGCCAGUGCCAAUCUACAGAGCACACUGCUGGUGUGUGUCCACAGAGGCUCCUAUGA
This 2055-nucleotide ribosomal RNA is filed under the name Triticum aestivum (bread wheat). RNAcentral describes it as "partial small subunit ribosomal RNA". Lineage: Eukaryota; Viridiplantae; Streptophyta; Magnoliopsida; Poales; Poaceae. The record is from RNAcentral.